This 148-nucleotide signal recognition particle RNA is filed under the name Gorilla gorilla gorilla (western lowland gorilla). Its description in RNAcentral is "Metazoan signal recognition particle RNA". It matches the Rfam family "Metazoan signal recognition particle RNA". Rfam says of the family: The signal recognition particle (SRP) is a universally conserved ribonucleoprotein. It is involved in the co-translational targeting of proteins to membranes. Lineage: Eukaryota; Metazoa; Chordata; Mammalia; Primates; Hominidae. The record is from Rfam by way of RNAcentral.
GCUGGAUGUGGUGGUGCGCACCUGUACUCCCAGCUACUUGGGAAGCUGAGGCAAGAGAAUCGUUUGAACCCGGGAGGCUGAGGUUGCAGUGAGCCAAGAUCGCGCCACUGAACUCCAGCCUGGGUUACAGAGCGAGACUCCGUCUCUC